CCUGCUAUUCAGAAAGUUACAACUGUGCCCUCUCCAGCAAAGUCUGGAUCUCAGCCAGCCCUAAGAGUGUGUCUGUGUCUUGGAGGAGCUCUUUUUGAGAUGCUGUAUCUCAGCCCUAGGGUUUGGGCAAGGCAAGGUCCCUGUUCUUAUGGAGCUAGCACUGAUUCACCCAGGUGCAAGCCCAGAGGCAGUCUAUACCCCAACUCAACUGGCUGGUCCUCAAUGCUGCCUGCUUCCGUGCCCAACUUAGAACUACACAUCUGCUGCCUCUUGGUAACAUGUCAUUAUAAGCCCGAAGUGGACAAAAGCAAGUGAAGGCAUUCAAACAAAUCAUUCAAAGUUGGAAACAGGGUUUGAUGGGACAUCUAUAGCAUGUAGAAAUAUUUAUGAAAAAUGGGGAAAGGCCUGCAGGGAGCACAGUGGGGCGAUUCCUUAUAAAAUCACUUGGAAGUGCUGGGGGUAAGUGAUGUAAGCAUGAGGGAGGCUGGAACUCGCUUGAAAAGGCAUACAAGGCAAGAUGCAUGUGGACAGAUCACACGCUUCCAGGCAUUAUCUUGCAUGUAGAAAAGUGGGAUGCUCAUUUUGUGCCUCCCUCAGAGGAGAUAUUAUCUGAGCACAUGCAAGUAUCUGGAUAUCACCUUCUGGGCCACAGUGAGGAACUCAAGGAGUUGAAAUGGUUUCUGGAGAAAAAGAAAUGCUCAGAAAGAGAGAGUGGCUGAGAGCAGACCUUGGGGAGAGGCUGGGCUGCCACAAUUAGACUCAUGCCUCAGGGACCCCAACACUCACUUCAUGAUGCUUUAUAAGUCUCCAGGAUUCCCGUGAAAUACCACCCUCACUGGACCCAUGCACAAACCCAGGCUUCUUCAUCAGCCCUAACCCUGCCAACCACUCCUGCCUCACUGAAUGUGCCAACGGAUUGCUCAGCUCCAACCAAGGAAAAGAAGAAGGAAGUUGGAUACUUUAUACCCUCUACAUUGUCCAUUAGCAACACAACCUAGAGCUAGGAUGGAGAAAGAAAAUGCCAAAAUGCUAAUGAAAAAUGUUCAGAUGUAUCACAUAUUAAGCAUACAUGAUCUCAAAUAUUUUGCCUGAUUUAUGCUAUGCAUGCUAUUUUCCAUGUUGUGUAGGCUCUGAUGCUAGUCUACAUUUACAGAAAUCUCCAUCAGCUGUACAAAUGGCAAUUUAAAUACAUUUAACUAUGUGCUAAUAAUCUCAUAAUACAAUUUAUCAUGUAUGAUUGGCAGAAGAAAUUAUUUGGGGCAAAAGCUAUGAUUGUAUUGUUGUAAGUUAUUAUGAAUGCUGGGCAGUGUAGGGCAUGGCACUUGCUACCACCUCCCAGAAAUGUGUAAGGGCUGUUGAAGGUGCCUUGUUCUUCUUUCUUCUUCAAUAUAAGCAAAGCUAUUUAUAUCAUAAAGCUGAAACUUGAAAUUCCGUCUGAAGAUUGCCAUUUGAAAUGCUCUUUGAGGGAUGCGAAGUCAACCCUGGAUCCAAAGUAGCUUUGAUGUUUGUCAGGAAAAUGCUGGAAUUCUAUACACUACAGUUUCUACAGAGCAUGAAGAACUCCAACUUCAGACAACCUGCAAAAAAAGUCAGAGAGCAAUUAAAUAUAAAAAUAAAUUCCUUUGAUAAAACAA
This 1634-nucleotide long non-coding RNA is filed under the name Homo sapiens (human). RNAcentral's name for it is "long non-coding RNA NONHSAT220877.1". Lineage: Eukaryota; Metazoa; Chordata; Mammalia; Primates; Hominidae. The record is from RNAcentral.